RNAcentral lists this ribosomal RNA (253 nucleotides) under uncultured bacterium. RNAcentral describes it as "partial 16S ribosomal RNA". It matches the Rfam family "Bacterial small subunit ribosomal RNA", at positions 524 to 776 of the family's 1533-position model. The record is from RNAcentral.
UACGUAGGGUGCGAGCGUUGUCCGGAAUUACUGGGCGUAAAGAGCUCGUAGGUGGUUUGUCGCGUUGUUCGUGAAAACCGGGGGCUUAACCCUCGGCGUGCGGGCGAUACGGGCAGACUGGAGUACUGCAGGGGAGACUGGAAUUCCUGGUGUAGCGGUGGAAUGCGCAGAUAUCAGGAGGAACACCGGUGGCGAAGGCGGGUCACUGGCCCGGUACUGACGCUGAGGUGCGAAAGCGUGGGGAGCAAACAGG